GCACCACAAGGGGUGAAGUCUGCGGUUUAAUUGGAUUCAACGCCGGAAAUCUCACUGGAGGCGACGGCAGAAUGACAGCCAAGCUGAUGACUUUGCUUGACGAGCCGAGAGGAGGUGCAUGGCCGUCGUCAGCUCGUACCGUAAGGCGUCCYGUUAAGUCAGGCAACGAGCGAGACCCGUGCCCUUAUUUGUCAGCUGACCCCUGCGGGGGUCAAGACCCAUUAAGGGGACCGCUGCUGAUAAAGCAGAGGAAGGAGCGAGCAACGAUAGGUCAGUAUGCCCCGAAUCCUUCAGGCUACACGCGGACUGCAAUGGCUAGUACAAUUGGCCCCAACUCCGAAAGGAGAAGGAAAUCCCGAAAGCUAGUCUUAGUUCGGANUGNGGGCUGUAAAUCGCCCACAUGAAGCCGGAAUCCCUAGUAAUCGCGUCUCACUAUGGCGCGGUGAAUACGUCCCUGCUCCUUGCACACACCGCCCGUCACACCACCCGAGUGAGGUUUAGAUGAGGCAAUGGCCCUAGGUCAUUGUCGAGUCNGGGUUUUACAAGGGGGGUG
RNAcentral lists this ribosomal RNA (553 nucleotides) under uncultured archaeon. Its description in RNAcentral is "bacterial SSU rRNA". It matches the Rfam family "Archaeal small subunit ribosomal RNA", at positions 876 to 1428 of the family's 1478-position model. The record is from RNAcentral.